This is a long non-coding RNA of Harpia harpyja (harpy eagle), 4771 nucleotides long. RefSeq lists it as uncharacterized. NCBI's taxonomy places the organism in Eukaryota, Metazoa, Chordata, Aves, Accipitriformes, Accipitridae. The transcript has 2 exons. The record is from RefSeq and is a predicted model, not a curated record.
AAUUUUUCAAGUAAAAUUUUUUAAGACACUGUAUCAAAUUCUUUAAUAAGGUCCAGAUACAUCAGCUGCAUUUCUGGUUCAAACUGCUUUACCCCUGUCUUUUGUGUUCUGAGUCUUCUUAUCUGAUGUGUAUCUGCCUUGAGGUCAACUGAAACUCCGCCUACUAAGUAUACGAAAGUCAGCAUUGGGAAAGCUUCCUGUAAUUCUGGCAUGAAAACUACACGGAAUAGAUGGCAAAGUUGAGCAUAACUGAAAAAUAAUAAUAAAAAAUAAAAAUGCUAAAUGUGAAAUCAGGAUGAAAUUUACAUUGUUUGAGGAAACUAAGAAUGAGAAAAACUGGUGUGUAGUCACAGAAACUUCUUUGCUCAUAAUUACCCUGUGAACACAAUGCUGUAUAACUAGAUCCUGCACAAGCAAGGUUAUCUUGUGCCGUGCGGUCCCUAGAGAACAUUAUUAAUAGAACAUGUAAGCUGUGUGGUCCCAUGCCUGGUGAGAUGCUGCUUUUUUCUAUGGAAGGGUGCAACUCCUAUUUACCUCUUCAUGUGUCUAGUGGCACUUGCGGGUUCUGUCCUUACCCCUUUGCUAGCACAGGAACUCGUGAUGACACAGCAAGUCAGUUCAUGGAGACGAUCCAACUGAACACUUGUUUACUUUUUUAUUAGUUUUUCUGCUGGAACAGCUCAGCAAAGCAGGUCGCUGCCUGGGUGCAUGAGGUCUGCAGCCAGUGCAAGGAAAAAUGCUGGUGGCUGUGUGGUCAGGAGAGGAAAUGAGGCUGGGAUCACAGUGGCAGUGGUUUAUGUACACUUAUCUUACUAUGGAACAAAGCCAUUAAUGAUUUCAGCCUUUAUGUCUUAGCCCAGUGUCGUGUCGUGUGUAUAAUGGGAUAUUAUAGUCCAGAGCAAGGCUUGAAAGCCUGCUGUGACAACCUGAAGAAUAAGCUGUGUUCUUGUGUGCCCUAGCAGCCUUGUCUGGAUAGGAUAGUGUUCAGCUGUAGCUCUCCGGGGGUUUGCAUAUUCACCGGGCAGGGCAUUUGUCUGUGCAACACACGCUCCUACUGCCUGUGUGGUGGUGCUACCCUAGCUCCUUGGUCACUUGCACCAGUGGAGCGCCUGGCCUGGAGUUGAAGGUGGCUUCUUGGCUGGAUUCCUCUGGCAGCUGAAUCCAUGAUUCUUCACAAGCAGAGGAGUUGGACCAUGAGUACUGGAAGACAUCUUCCUGUUGAAUUUAAAGGCUUCCUAGGCAGGGAUUGAAGAGAGGAGAAAUGUUUUCAGAUUUUGGAAGAGUUACUGUAUUUCUGAAGAUCCAGACAUAUUCUCUCUUUUAGUUGCUUUAAUUGCAAUGAGCAUUUGUUCUUUGGGUUGUCAGCUUCUUGGGACUGUUCUUUAGUGGGAAAGAUGUAUUAGUUAUUGAAGGAAAAAAAAAACCUGAAAUGCAACUGAGCAGAUUCUGAGGGCUGACUUUUGGCUGAACCGCUAUCAGAGCUUUGGAUGUUAUUCAGCAACAGUUGCGUUAUGAAUUUUGAGCAAAAGUGGCAAACAACCCUUAUGGAAUACACAUUUUUCCACUUAAAAUAAUCAUCCUGUGGCUGGUAAGAACUGAUUUUUAGCAUUUUAAAUAUUGGGCCUGAUUUACCCAGUGCAGUGUGCCAGUUUUAUGCUGGUGUAAGACUUCGUCUAAGAAGAGCUGUAACAGUGUAAAAUGAACUCACGGAUGAGCCAAGCCCAAAAUCUCAUAGAAGAAUCCUUCCAUUUUCCACAAGGGACAUGCUGGCAUACAUCCCUGCAGCAAUAAUUUCUUGUUUAGCUGGUUUAAUUCUUCAGAAUUUCUGUGUUGCUGUACAAUAGGUAUGUUUAAUGAAAUUUGACAUCUUGCUUUUUAUUUACAGGUGGGACUCUCUGAUGGAUGUGCAGGACAGGAAUGGAUCGGAUGUCAGCCCAUUCAUGGAAGGAAAAUGUUCAGGGAAAAGCAAGAAGGACCAGGGACUGGGAAGAGCUUCCUUAUGAAGGAAACCCAGCAGACCAGGACUCCACAACCUAUGGAGGAGGUGGUUUAGAGGGGAUACAAUAGCGGUCUAAUUGACUCUGCCUAACAAGCCAAGCGACUCAGACACAGCAAACGGAUCUCCAGCAUUACAAGGGGAUGGAGACUGCCAAAAGGGAUGCUGCCAACUUCUAAACUCGCCCCGCCAAGGGUGACUGUAACUCUAGAAGGAAAGGGAUAUCUGAUUUGUUACUUGGCAUACUCCUGCUGUAUAGUCUGUUCUGCUGGCCCACUCAUUUUCAUAAUAUUGGAAAGGAAGAUGAGAAGCUUGCUUCUAAUGGGUUGAUUAGAUAUUAAAUAUUUUGGAACAAAACCAACUAAUAACUGGGAUGUCUUUCUGAUGGGGGGGGGGUGAGAACUCAGGAUGUUACAUUUGGAGAGAAAACUCUCCAAUUAGCUAAAAAUGCAGUUCUAGCUGGGUCAAGAAAGAGAUUCCUUCAUCCUAAUUUGAAAUCUAAAUUACUUUAAUUGAAGAGUAUAUAGUUCCUGAGUCUUAUGAGUAAGAAUAAUUGAAAAUGGAUUAAAUUGCCAUUUUUUUGUUCACAGUUGUUUGCCCCACAAAAAUGUGGACUAAAUUUGUACUCCCACUAGUGAAUGCCAAUUUGGAAGAAUUCCACUGGAUUCAUUGCGGUUGCCCUAGUUGCACCUUCCUUAGCAAGUAUAGAAUCAGGCCCUGUGUGCAUAAUUUUUCCACUUUUAGACCUGAGGGACUGUAAUCGGGAACCAGGCUGAGGUCCCAUUCCAGAUCAAGUCUUUCAUAUGCAGAUUAUAAAAUCAGUGAAAAACAAGCUUGGUUUGGCAGUUACUUUAAAAGAGACCUUUGGAUGAUUCUAUCAACAGCAGAAGAGGCAAUUCAUUCUUCAUGCUAGAAAUCAUCAUAUAUCUCAUUUUGGGAGAUGUGAUCAAUACUGGCUGGUUUUUGUGUAGAGAGAAAAAUACCAUAUUUGGGAGAAAUUUUCUUAGGGCCACUUCAGGUCUCUGGAAACACUUCUGCCCCCAAAAACCUCAUCCCGUAAUCUCAGAGAAAUAUUUUUACCCAAUGUAUUUAGAUCAAUAUUUUUGAUUUAUUUAUUUCUAUAGUCUUGUCUCUUUGACUGUCUGAGACUUCAAAUAAGAUUUCAGAAGCUCAUCAAAAGUUUCUAUAUUCUGCUAGAAGCAUGGACAUUGAGUUAUAGUUGUGGUUUGGAUUUGUAGAUGCUAAUGCAAGAAAGCACCCAAGGAAUGCAAUUUCUUUCAACUCUUGCACUACUAGAGACCUCAUAACCACUAAGGAAGGGAGUUAAAAUAUGAUUUUCUCUUCAGCCAUUGCCAGGAAAGCUGCCAACCAGAUAGAUGAUCCAUGGUGGAUGGUCAACAAUCAUAGUUAAAAUAUCUGUAGGUGCUGCCAUUGUCUUUCGAAAGAAUGCAUAUUCCCCAAGUGAGCACAAAUAACAGAGAUAACAAGGUGGGCAUGGAUGUCUUUUCUAAAACAAUUGAUGGAUGUCUCAAGUCUUGUUGAAUUGCACAGUGUCCAUGCAAGGGCCACAGGUCAGGCUGUGGCACUGUAAAUGCUGCCAUAACAUCCACCUUCCCAGUCAGGGGGUGCAGCAGCUCCUGUCAGGUGUAAUCGGUCGCCUCUCGGAUGACAUCUGAUACUCAACAAUUUGAUGCAGAGAAAAUAUUUUUACUAAAAUAGUUAAGGAUUAUUAAAAUAGCCGUACAGACAGUUGAUAAGAGUUUGCAUUAAAGGGAGAUGACAAAGUAUGGCCAUGUUUCUCUCCUGCAAAAAAUACUGGAAAUGCCUGCCAUUUCAACAGCAAAAUGUUUGCUCUGAGAGUGAGGCAUAGUAAAGAAUCACUCCUACUAUGAGUUAUUAGAGGUGAAGGAUCAAUUAUGACUCCAUUCUGAAGAGGGAUGAGGGAGCUGCCCAGGCAAGCCACCUCCUCAGUCUGCCUGUGUCUGAAUUCAGUGAUGUCUCCACAAAGAGGCCUGUAAGUGCAGGGUAGCCCUGUAUUUCUGUCUUCCUUAUGGAUCCCUUUUCCUUCCUUCCUUACCCACGUCUGAAGAUGGUCACAUUUUUAAGGGGUUGCAAACUGCUUCAGAAAGCAAGGGCAGGACAGCCUGAGGCUCUGGAAAUAUGCUGGUGACACCUGAAAGAAAUAGUAAUCUCAACUUCACUUAUCCAUAUGUAAGAACAGCAGUACCCUUGCUUCAUCAGUAGCUGAAUAUUAAUUGCUAGAAUCACGGCAAAUUCCCAGAAUAUAAAAGUUUUUUUCUUACUGCCUUGUACAGUUCAUUUCAUAGCUUCCAGUGUUUGAAGUGGAUGACUUGUUUCUAAUGAAUCAAGGCGAACGCUGUCAGACCUCCUAAUGAUUGUUUCUAUCUACUAUACCAUAAAAAAUGUAUGUAUGUAUCCUUCUUGGUUUACUGCCAGUCAAUCAAUGUUAAAACAUUGACAUAUGGGUGUGGGAUUUUUUGCUGUCUUUAAAAUAAGAUCAAUGACAUUAAGGUUUGUCGUGUAAAUAGUAGAAAUAAAGCAAAAAAAAAGAGCUAUUUAUGGUUUUAGGAUGACAUCUGUAAUGUGGGUGGCAGUAGAAUGAAAAGUAGAGAAUUUCAAAGCUCUUCAUAGUUGAAUGAAUUGACUGAGCAUAUAUUUUUAGUGGUUUAAAAAGUGUUAGUUACCCAAAGUUCAUGCAUACAAACAAAAUAAAUCUAUGAACUGAAGAUAAAAUAAAUCUAUGAAAUGGCUGCA